UACGUAGGGUGCGAGCGUUAAUCGGAAUUACUGGGCGUAAAGCGUGCGCAGGCGGUUUUGUAAGCCAGAUGUGAAAUCCCCGGGCUUAACCUGGGAAUGGCAUUUGGGACUGCAAGGCUUGAGUGUGGCAGAGGAGACUGGAAUUCCUGGUGUAGCAGUGAAAUGCGUAGAUAUCAGGAGGAACACCGGUGGCGAAGGCGGCUUUCUGGACAAAAACUGACGCUGAGGCGCGAAAGCUAGGGGAGCAAACAGG
This 253-nucleotide ribosomal RNA is filed under the name uncultured bacterium. RNAcentral's name for it is "partial 16S ribosomal RNA". It matches the Rfam family "Bacterial small subunit ribosomal RNA", at positions 524 to 776 of the family's 1533-position model. The record is from RNAcentral.